This 253-nucleotide ribosomal RNA is filed under the name uncultured bacterium. RNAcentral's name for it is "partial 16S ribosomal RNA". It matches the Rfam family "Bacterial small subunit ribosomal RNA", at positions 524 to 776 of the family's 1533-position model. The record is from RNAcentral.
UACGUAGGGUGCGAGCGUUAAUCGGAAUUACUGGGCGUAAAGCGUGCGCAGGCGGUUCGUUGUGUCGGCGGUGAAAGCCCCGGGCUUAACCUGGGAAUGGCCGUCUAAACUGGCGAACUGGAGUGUGGCAGAGGGGGGUGGAAUUCCGCGUGUAGCAGUGAAAUGCGUAGAGAUGCGGAGGAACACCGAUGGCGAAGGCAGCCCCCUGGGCUGACACUGACGCUCAGGCACGAAAGCGUGGGGAGCAAACAGG